This 451-nucleotide ribosomal RNA is filed under the name uncultured bacterium. RNAcentral's name for it is "partial 16S ribosomal RNA". It matches the Rfam family "Bacterial small subunit ribosomal RNA", at positions 29 to 523 of the family's 1533-position model. The record is from RNAcentral.
AACGAACGCUGGCGGCAGGCUUAACACAUGCAAGUCGAACGCGUGUAGCAAUACACGAGUGGCGCACGGGUGAGUAACGCGUGGAUAUCUGCCUCUUGGUUCGGAAUAACUCCGGGAAACUGGAGCUAAUACCGGAUGGUUCCUUCGGGAUAAAGAUUUAUCGCCAAAAGAUGAGUCCGCGUACGAUUAGCUAGUUGGUGAGGUAAUGGCUCACCAAGGCGACGAUCGUUAGCUGGUCUGAGAGGACGAUCAGCCACACUGGGACUGAGACACGGCCCAGCCUCCUACGGGAGGCAGCAGUGGGGAAUAUUGUACAAUGGGGGCAACCCUGAUCCAGCCAUGCCGCGUGAGUGAUGACGGCCUUCGGGUUGUAAAGCUCUUUUGGCGGGGAAGAUGAUGACGGUACCCGCAGAAUAAGCCCCGGAUAACUUCGUGCCAGCCGCCGCCGUAA